RNAcentral lists this ribosomal RNA (381 nucleotides) under uncultured eukaryote. RNAcentral's name for it is "partial 18S ribosomal RNA". It matches the Rfam family "Eukaryotic small subunit ribosomal RNA", at positions 592 to 976 of the family's 1831-position model. The record is from RNAcentral.
CAAUAGCGUAUAUUAAAGCUGUUGCGGUUAAAAAGCUCGUAGUUGGAUUUCUGUCAAGGACAACUGGUCCGCCCCUCGGGUGAGCACAUAGUUUGGUCUUGGCAUCUUGUUGGAAACUGUUGCUGCACUUGGUUGUGUGGCGCAGUGUCCAGCACUUUCACUUUGAGGAAAUUGGAGUGUUUCAAGCAGGCACAUGCCUUUGGACACAGUAGCAUGGAAUAAUUAGAUUGGGCUUUUGCUCCAACUUGUCGGUUUCUGGAGCUGAGGUGAGAAUUAAUGGGGAUUGUUGGGGGCAUCCGAAUUCAGCCGUCAGAGGUGAAAUUCUUGGAUCUGCUAAAGACGGACAACUGCGAAAGCGUUUGCCCAGGAUGUUUUCAUUGA